Molecule: small nucleolar RNA, 127 nt
Organism: Cornus florida
Lineage: Eukaryota; Viridiplantae; Streptophyta; Magnoliopsida; Cornales; Cornaceae
Source: RefSeq, a predicted model, not a curated record
ACCAAUUCUGGGGGAUAAAUAGUUCCUCUUGGUAUAAUGGCUAGGACGCUACAUUUAUCUCAAGUGUGGCAUUCCUGAUUUAUGGUUUCUUCAAUCCCAUUUGAUCCUGGAAAUACCACAUACAUUU